This 208-nucleotide ribosomal RNA is filed under the name uncultured bacterium. Its description in RNAcentral is "partial 16S ribosomal RNA". It matches the Rfam family "Bacterial small subunit ribosomal RNA", at positions 568 to 774 of the family's 1533-position model. The record is from RNAcentral.
UACGUAGGCGGUCAUUGCAAUUACGUUGUUAAAUACUAGAGCUAAACUUUAGUGCUGCAUGUAAAAGUGACUGGCUUUGAGUUAAGUAGAGGUUUGGAGAAUUUUCAGUGAAGGGGUGAAAUCCGACGAGACUGAAAAGAAUACCAGGGGCGAAGGCGCCAUUCCAUAUUUGACUGACGCUGAGGUACGGAAGCAUGGGGAGCAAACG